CUUGGUCGGCGACUUUAUCUAUCGCUCAUUCGCAAAUAGCUCAUCACACGCAUCGCAUUGAAUCGCAUCGCGUGUGUUGUGUGUACGACACUGGAGGUGAGCGCAGGAUUGAAGAACUGUUCUACUUCCCUUUAAAAUAAGGAGCAAUUUCCAGCAUGCCGAAGGUCAGGAUUUCCGUUGUGUACUGUGGUGGAUGAGGGUAUGGUGUCAAAUUUCGGAAGCUGAAAACAGCUCUGUUAGAGGAGUUUGAUGCGAACAAGAUGGACAUUAUUGGGGAGUCCACCCCCGGUAUAACCGGUUAUUUGGAGGUCUCUGUCAAUGGCCAGCUUGUCCAUUCCAAGAAGAAUGGAGAUGGCUACAUUGACAGUGACGCAAAAGAGAAGAAGAUAUUUAAAGCUGUGAAAGCUGCCAUGGCUUAAAAUGUCUUCAGCGCAAACCAGGACCAAACGGACUUGACAUUGGGGAGUGGAUGGGCCUGUUUAUGACGGGAUGAGCUUAAACGUGACUAACCCUCACAGGGCUCGUGCCUGAUGCUUCACCAGGAACAUCCACUGGCAAUAGUCAACAGGAGUUUGAUUCUGCCAUUUCACUUAGCAGUACUUUAGAAUGUUUCGGGUACUAAAAUCUGUUUCUUAUGAACGUUAAAAACAUGCUCUCAGGUCGAGUGUCUUUUGUACAAAUAAGUCUUAUGAUGAACUUUUCACAUCUAGGACAAUCUUUCAAUAAACCUCAUGUUUUGUCAAACUUCACUUUAGGUGAAGACAGGUAUUCUGGAAUUGUACCGAACCAAAUUAAAAGCAAAUUUUGAAUUAAGUACCGCAAAAGUUCAAUGUCAGGAACAAUUAGGAACGACCAGGCAUGCUAGCAGGCGAAAGAUUGACACCUUGAGGCACUCAGAACUACACCAGAGCGACUUGGUUUCAGACAUCACUCUUUUCAUGGGCAGAACCCAAUGCAAAUGUAUGUAUUAAGUUCGUCUGUCUGGUAAAACAAUUCAAUUGGGUUGACCCUAGUCUCUCUUAAUUUUAUUUGGUUCAGUGCUACCCUAAGAACACCUAUUUGAAACGGGUGUACGAUGUAACUGAGUUUUUGAAUAAUAUUUUUUGCCCCAGAAUACAGCGUAGCAGUUAUUGCUUUAGCAGUACGAUGUUUCUUGGUGUGUGGAUUUCAUUUUGUUACAUAUAUGUUCCAUAUCAUUCAAUCAAAAUAUAUUGCUUAUAUUCUCUUCAGUAUCAGUACUUAUCUCCUUUAAAUCACCAACACAAAACCGGCAACUGCUGGGAGUUUUCCCCUUAAAAUUCACACGUUUUGCAGUGCACACUGAACACAUACUCUCAGGCCCAGUGUCUUUUGUACAAAUAAGUCAAAUGGUAAAUCAUCGGUCGGUUAAACUCAUGUUUCAUGUGCAAGACAUAACUAAGUUUUUAGACAAUAUUUUUGCCUCUGAAUGCAAUAUAGCAGUGAUUGAUUUAGCAAUUACAUAUCUACUUGGUGUGUGGUUUACAUUUUGUCUCGUAUAUGUGCCGUAACAUUCAAUAAAAAUACUUUGCUGUAUAUUCUCUUUUACAAUAGAUAUUCAAAGAUGAUCCUGGGUAUGAAUGAUUCUAGCAUAUCAGUACUGAUCUCCUUCAAAUCACCACUAGUCAAAAAAACGAAAUGGUUUUUGUCCGAAAAUUUUCAUAUCUAACAGGAACUGCUUGGCCGGGUUUCCCAUUAAAAUUGACAUGCGAAAGUCCUUACUACUGUGUCGUCUUAUAUCAAUAAGUUGCAUAGUGUAAGACUGGCUCACGAAAACAGUAGCAAAUCAGUGUCAACGCUUAUUUGUGGUCAUUCUCCAGAUGAAAUUGUCAUCACCCAUCAUUAGAAGACAAUCAGUUAUCAGUGUCUUGAAGUUUUUUCUAGUGGUGGUUGGCCUAUCACAGGUGGAUACAUUUUCUGUAGAUCCAUACAUCGGGCAGACCAAAUUUAAGCGUCGUGUUGAAGUAGUGGAGCUAUAAGUAAAUUAUUAUGGAAUGGUUUGUUUCUUAAGGUCAAUAAAAGAGGUGUGGGAAGCGAUUGUGA
Molecule: long non-coding RNA, 2061 nt
Filed under: Acanthaster planci (crown-of-thorns starfish)
Lineage: Eukaryota; Metazoa; Echinodermata; Asteroidea; Valvatida; Acanthasteridae
Description: uncharacterized LOC110988915
Source: RNAcentral